GUUGUACUCCCUUCGUUUCAAAAUUAUUGUCUUAAAUUUGUCUACAUAUGAAUAAAUCUAGUUAUAUUUUAAUAUUUACGUACAUUCAUUUCUAGACAAACCUAAGACAAAAAAUUUAGGACGGAGGGAAUACGAA
This 136-nucleotide microRNA precursor is filed under the name Hordeum vulgare. RNAcentral's name for it is "microRNA MIR1122". It matches the Rfam family "MIR1120/MIR1122 microRNA precursor family". Lineage: Eukaryota; Viridiplantae; Streptophyta; Magnoliopsida; Poales; Poaceae. The record is from RNAcentral.